CCUACGGGUGGCAGCAGUGGGGAAUAUUGGACAAUGGGCGAAAGCCUGAUCCAGCCAUGCCGCGUGUGUGAAGAAGGCCUUCGGGUUGUAAAGCACUUUCAGUGGGGAAGAAAGCCUUGGGGCUAAUACCCUCGAGGAAGGACAUCACCCACAGAAGAAGCACCGGCUAACUCCGUGCCAGCAGCCGCGGUAAUACGGAGGGUGCGAGCGUUAAUCGGAAUUACUGGGCGUAAAGCGCGCGUAGGCGGUCUGAUAAGCCGGUUGUGAAAGCCCCGGGCUCAACCUGGGAACGGCAUCCGGAACUGUCAGGCUAGAGUGCAGGAGAGGAAGGUAGAAUUCCCGGUGUAGCGGUGAAAUGCGUAGAGAUCGGGAGGAAUACCAGUGGCGAAGGCGGCCUUCUGGACUGACACUGACACUGAGGUGCGAAAGCGUGGGUAGCAAACAGGAUUAGAUACCCCAGUAGUC
Molecule: ribosomal RNA, 465 nt
Filed under: Vreelandella stevensii
Lineage: Bacteria; Pseudomonadati; Pseudomonadota; Gammaproteobacteria; Oceanospirillales; Halomonadaceae
Description: partial 16S ribosomal RNA
Rfam family: Bacterial small subunit ribosomal RNA
Source: RNAcentral